GUACUACUCUCAGUAGUUUGAUCCUGGCUCAGGACGAACGCUGGCGGCGUGCCUAACACAUGCAAGUCGAACGGGGUAGAGAGCUUCGGUUUUCUACUUAGUGGCGAACGGGUGAGUAACGCGUGAGAAACCUGCCUUUCAGUGGGGGACAACAGUUGGAAACGACUGCUAAUACCGCAUGACACUUUAGUACCGCAUGGUACAGAAGUCAAAGCUUAAUGUGCCGAAAGAUGGUCUCGCGUCUGAUUAGCUAGAUGGCGGGGUAACGGCCCACCAUGGCGACGAUCAGUAGCCGGUCUGAGAGGAUGAACGGCCACAUUGGGACUGAGAUACGGCCCAG
Molecule: ribosomal RNA, 340 nt
Filed under: uncultured bacterium
Lineage: Bacteria
Description: bacterial SSU rRNA
Rfam family: Bacterial small subunit ribosomal RNA
Source: RNAcentral